Non-coding RNA from Podarcis lilfordi (Lilford's wall lizard), 14995 nucleotides. The record is from the annotation of a GenBank genome assembly. NCBI's taxonomy places the organism in Eukaryota, Metazoa, Chordata, Lepidosauria, Squamata, Lacertidae.
UCUUCUGUGAAAGCAGAACUCACUGCCCUCUUUUCACAGCAAACAAAGCAAACUUGAUCUGAGGCAGCCAGUCAUCAGAACAAAGUUGAAUGGAUAGCAAAAACUAUUGCGAAAUUUUUGUUUUUGCUGUUUGAGCUCCAGCCCUGAACAAGUAUAAAGAGGGCAGAAUCCACAUUCAAAGCCAGAGAGUCAUCAAGGGCUAACAAAAUGGAUCUCCUUCCAAGCUUCUCCACUGAGACAUGGUUCCUUCUCAUUGCCCUUCUGGUCCUUUUCAUGCUGUAUGUAUCAUUCUCUUCUUGUUUCUUUGGCCGUUUUCUAAUUGUGAAAAAGAAAUGGGGGCGUUUUAAAUCUGCUUCUUCUUCUGAAAGCCAUAAGAGAUAGCAGCCUCUGAACUGCUAGGAUAUUUACUUCCAAGGAAGCUUGCAUAUGGUUGGGUUGUAGAAGCAGCUCUAGAAGCACAGCAUAUUGUAUGCACUAAUAGUAGCCUUAUCUUCUAUACAAUCAUGAAGCAAAAGCUGUCAUUUGGCACUCACCUCCGAAGUGGUCCUCAGCAGCUGAGGGACAGAGAGAAGGAAUGGAGACACAGGACAAAGUUCUUGGGCAGAAGCAGCCAAUUCCUAACCCACUCUAUCUAGCCCAGGACUGCGAGGCCUUUAAAGCUUAAAACUAGGGAAGAAGGUGACAACUCUGGAGAUUGAUGAAAGGUUGACCUCAUGCGGUUUGAUCAGCUGGCCAUCAACAAAACACUUCUGGCUAUCACUGGGCUGAUGGAAUUUUCUAAACUGCUUUCAUGGACACAGCCAUGUAAAGAACAUUAUAGCAAUCUAAUUGAAUACUAUAGCCAUUACGGAGGGCGGGAGGUGGGAUGAGCUUUUGCUACCCAGCUCUUUGCUACCCAGAAUGUAAUUACUCUGUUGUUGGGCUCUCUGUGUUGUAUCCAACCAACUUUCAGUCAGAGUAGACCCUCUGGAAUUAAUAGAUCUAAGUCACGUCCUUUAGUUUCUACGAGUCUGCUCUCAGGAGGACCAGCAAUGGUUGCAACCCAAUAUGAAUAGAACUCAGCAUGUGUGUGUUUGUGUGUUUGCUUUCUGUUUCUGAUUUAAUUGUAUCCCACAGUUAAUUUUUUUUAAAAAAAGAAUAUCUGCUUCUGCUGCUUUCAACUUCCUGCGACAGUAUUUCUUUUGCUCUUUAUCUUUGAUUUAUUAAUAAAUUUUUUUUUUAAAAAAAGGUAUUUAUUAAAAGUUUAAUAGUUACAGAAAAAAGAAGAAAGAAACAGUGAAAAGUUCACAAUACAUCAAAAAUAAAGAGAAAAAAACAAAAAACCAAUACAACAAAACAACAAGAAAAGCAAAAACAUUUUAAAAAAACCCACAUCCAAUAUCUCUAUAUCUCUACCUUUCAUUUACUUGUAUCAUCGACCUCCUCACACCUCCCUUUUUUGUAUUCUUGUUCAAUUAGCUAUUUCAGCAAAUCCUUUCCAUCUUUCUCAAUUUUUGUUCUAUAAUUUAUCUUAAUUUAUUUUAACCUUAUCUUGCCAUAAAAAGCCCUAAAGCUUAAAACUUAUUUGUACAUAACUCCUUAUAGCAUUUCUACUAAAGCCAAAUAGUUUCAUUCCAACAUUUUUUCUAACACUCAUUAAUUUUACAAUAUUUCUCUAAAUGAAUUUUUAAACUUUCUUCCAAUCUUCAACCACCGUCUCUUCUUCCUGGUCUCGGGUUCUGUCAGUCCUUUCUAUCCAUUCCAUUUAGUCCAUCAACCUGGUGAUCUUCUAUCCGAGGCUCUUAACUCUUUUCCAUGUCCCUUCUGCAGGUCUUCUUCAUAUUUAUACCUGCACCUUACUUUGUCUUCUGCUGAUCUUGUUCUUAGUUUCCUUCCUUUAUCGCUGAGGAGUAGAUCUCGGGGAGACUCCAACCUAACAAUGUCUUUAUCCCUUCUCGACAGGUCGGCCCAUUCUCCAUAGUCAGCACUAAAAUCCAAAAGAUAUUUCAAGGCAUGUUUCAAAGUCCCUCCAAAGUUAAAGGCCCCCACAACUCCAGACUCCCCCUGGCGCAAAACCAGAUCCCAGAAGCCAGAACAGCCCUGCAUAGGGGGAUCUAUCCAAUUUCCCAUCUCCAAUCCAAACGAGACUCCAUCUCUCCAAAUCUGACUUUCUCCAGGUUCGGUCAUCAAAAACAACAGCUUAUGUUCCUGCAAAGCCUCGGCUCUCUCCACAUGUAUUUCUUGAGGUUCAACAGCAACCUCCUCCUUUGUCUUCUGCACAACUUGCCCUGUCAAAGCAGAUUCCUGGGUCGGUUCCUGAGUGGUUUCUACAUAGGUAUUCACUGUUUGUCCAAAAUUAUUAACUGCAACAGUCAUCAAAUCCAUCUUCUCAUGUAGCUGUUCCAAUAAAGCGCUUGUCUUGCAAAAAGCAAUCACUAAGGCUUCUUCUGGGCACAUUCUUGUUCAAGGUCAAUGUCUGGUUCUCACGAUCUUUAACAGCAGCAAGAAUAUUGAUAGCCGGAGAUUGAAAAGAAGCAAAAGGUACCAAUGUACCAAAAAUGGUAUCACAUAAUUUGGGAGAUGGCACUUUGUGGAAAAUGGAUGCAAACAAUUUGUGAGGGCAACCAGCAUCCCCCCCACCCUGAACGACUUUUAAAGCAGACUAGUGGCUGUUUAUUCUGCCCAAGAACAAAGACUGCAGGACAAAGUGUACCUGUCACAUUUCAUAUUAUGCGGCCGUGCUAACACUUCCCUUUAUAUUGACAGCAGCAGGGCUUUUUCCCCAGGGGGAACUCCCAGGAACUCAGUCCCGCCACCUCUCAGUCGGUUCUGGCACCUGUCAGGUGGGCACCUAAGAGAAGGUUCCUGGUGAGUUCCAGCAUCUCUUUUUCUAGAAAAACAGCCCUGGACAGCAGCAACGAUUGGACUCUUUCUGCUCCAGGGCUUAUGAACUCUCCUGUUUUUAUUCUGAUCUCAGCUAUGCCUUCAAGCUGGGAGGGGAAGGUGAGAUGCUGAGCUUGACAUUUUCAUCUUUUCACAUAUAACUCAACACUCACACAUGCAAAUAUAAAAAUAAUGUUCCUUUUAAAGUACAGCAAAAAACCAAGGGUGUUUGCUAAAGACAAACAGAACAGGGAAGGAAAGAUCUGGAUUUUCAGGGGAGAGAUCAGCUGGUGGACUUUGGAGCCUGUUUAUUGCUGUAUAUAUUGCAGAGCAGGGUGUGCAGCAAGUAGAUCUCUAGGAAUUGGUGGGUGAUUUCAUUGAAGGAGCUUUGCAGGCCAGUUGCUUUCUGCCCACAUCAACCCCCGGUUUAAAGCUUAGUGAGGUGGGGCCCACAAAUCCCUCCCUUGUUUUCUGGCAACUUUAAUUGCAGAAUGACUUUUCUCAUUGUAAAAACAGUGCUUUUUUCUGGGGGAAUGCAGGGGUACAUAUUCCCCUAAACAUUUUGUGCAUCUUUGUACUUUUGCCCAUUUACUGUAUUUAUCUUUCCUGAUUUGAACUAUAAAAUGGUGAUUUUCUUGAGUCAAAAUGAGAGUACUCCUAAACAUUUUUAAGAAAAAAACAAACCCACUGGUUAAAAAGACUCUUAAUGUAACAACAAAGUUAAUCAAACUCAUGUGUGCCAAUUUUUUUGCCCUGUGGUGCUCAUGUCAGUUCCUUGUGGGAUUUUUUAACAGGAGGAGCCCACACACAGGCGCAUCAACCUGCCAGGUUUCCCCUCUGAACCCUGGACAGGCUUUCAUGCUCUGCUGACAGAUUUGCAUCUCUCUCUCUCUCUCGUUUUACAAAAUAAACAGAUAUGGAUUUUGGCCGUAUGGCGUCUUCAAGAAACUGGGCAUUCCAGGUCCAUCGCCGUUGCCUUUCUUUGGAAAUAUCUGGUCCUAUCGUAAGGUGAGUGUCUGCUGACAUUCCUGCCCUGCUCAAGAGGUUUCCUGAGGCCCCUUUCUGCUCCCCCCUCUUGGGAUCAGAGGUGCUCCUCAAAAUGAGCCUUAAUCCGGUUCAGAAAGGCCGUUCUUAACUUUCUUAAAUGUCUUUCCACAGGGGUUUAUCAACUUUGAUACAGAGUGCUUUCAGAAAUAUGGGAGGACCUGGGGGUAAGUGACCUUUUAUGACCUGCUUGUAUUUCUCAUGUUAGCCCAAAUCCCAUUGCUUGAUCCCAAGGAGGAAAUGUUCUGGGGCAGGAAAAUGCUACAUCUGCAACUGGAUCUCUUUGGGAUCUCAAAAACAUACCAUUCUUUACUCUUAAUCCAGGAUUUACGAGGGCCGAAAGCCUAUGUUAGCUACGCUGGAUCCGGCUAUUAUAAAAGCUGUCCUCGUGAAAGAGUGUUACACCACUUUCACCAACCGUCGGGUAGGCAUUCACUUCUUAAGCUGUACAAUAGCAUCAUGGAAGGAGGAGUGUUCAUACACGUCACUCCAUUGGCACCAAACUGGGGUAAUGGGGAGGGCAGAUUAAUCCCUCUCCCAAAGUCAAGUGUGAACUUUGCCACCCAGCCAUCACUGCCCUCCAUGUUUAUUCCGUUUACAAUUCGCUGUUGGAUAUUAUUGGUUCCACAUCUGUCAUGAGUUCAAAACCUGACUUUGCCACUCAUUGGUUCCAAACUGUUUUGCUUCCUCUAGGAUAUAGAUUUAGUUGGGAUCUUGAAGUCUGCCGUCUCACUGGCAAAGGACGAACAAUGGAAGAGGAUUCGCACUAUUCUCUCUCCAACCUUCACCAGCGGGAAGCUCAAGGAGGUAAAAAAAGGAAAAAGAUAUUAAGUAUUAAGCACUUCCACUGGUAAAUAUGGGUUGUACAGUUCAAGCACCAUUCAAACUGUUCAGUCUGAAAUUGCCCAUAGGUGUUUACAUCUCAGCUCAUUGAUUUGUAUUUCAGAUGUUUCCCAUCAUCAAACACUACGGGGAGGUUUUGAUGCAAAACGUUCAGAAGAAAGUGGAAAAGAAUGAAUUUGUGGUUAUGAAGGAGUAAGUGGUUUGAGCCAGGAAAGGCCUCAGUCCAAAAUAGCAUAGCAUACAAUGUAGGCUGCCUUUGAGGUGAAUCCAGAUCACAUUGGGUGGCCAGAAACAGGCCUAUGGAAAAUCCUAAGUACAGUGGUACCUCGGGUUAAGUACUUAAUUCGUUCCAGAGGUCCGUUCUCAACCUGAAACUGUUCUUAACUUGAGGUACCACUUUAGCUAAUGGGGCCUCCUGCUGCCGCCGCGCUGCCGGAGCAUGAUUUCUGUUCUCAUCCUGAAGCAAAGUUCUUAACCUGAGGUAAUAUUUCUGGGUUAGGGGAGUCUGUAACCUGAAGCGUAUGUAACCCGAGGUACCACUGUAUACUGAGAGCCUGAUUUGGCUGCUCUGUUCCCUCCCCAGCAUCUUUGGGGCCUACAGCAUGGAUGUCGUCACCAGUACUUCGUUUGGUGUGAAUAUUGACUCUAUGAACAACCCUGCAGAUCCUUUUGUCAAGGAGAUCAAGAAGGUGACCAAGUUUGGAUCUUUUGAUCCACGCUUCGUUUUGAUAGGUAAGUUGGCUUCUGAUUUCUGAUGGCCCAGUGGAAGUUUGCAGUCUGGUUAUUAUGGAAACAUAAUAACUGGUCCAUCAAGCACAGAAUUUUCUACAGAUUUUUCUACUAGGUCCUCCAGGGUUUCUGACAGGGGCCAUUCCCAGCCCAGCCUGGUCACGAGGACCAAAUGUGGGUCGACCAUUGAGCCAUGAUGGCCUUUCCAAAAUAGGAUUUCUUUCUAGACUGCACUUGGAUCUAAAAUAUUGUGAGGAUUAUUCUAAGAACUGGCUUUGCCCCCACCCUCACCCCCAGCUGGAUACCUGGAGGUUCCCGCCUAGCAUCAACAAUUAACCAAUCCCAGCUGUGGGGGACGUUGCCAGGGGAGUUGGCCAGGUAGGGUUACGACAGCCCCACAUUCACAAUAGAGGGUGUAACUUACCUGUUAGUCCUCAGUCCAAUGCUUUGCUUCAGGAAGGUUAAUUCCUGUUCACUGUACGAUUUCUGUCUCUUGCAGCCAUGUUUCCAUUCCUGACUCCUCUUCUCAAAUUAAUGAAUGUGAAUUUAUUCAACGCAGAAGCUUUAAGCUUCUUUUCAAGGUCCUUUGCAAAAAUGAAGGAAACACGGCAGAAAGAAGGGCAAAAGGUAAGAAUUAAGACUGUGCCGUAAUUUGGGGAUGAAUAUCGUUGGCUUGGAAAAGGGCUUUCAUUUUGUGUGUGUGUGUUGUGUGUGUGCGUGAUUUUUCACUGAAAAAUCCCCUAGGAUUCAACUUUUCUCUGUGCUGCUUCACUGCUUUUUGCUCCACAAAACAGCCUAAUAUCUUGACUCUCUUACCCCCUCAGUAUGUCCAGUUGUGCCUAAGUACAGUGAGAUGAUCUCACAACCAAUGUCCUCAAGGGCAAAGGGGGCCAGUUCUCAUGGCUGUAUUUAGCCCUUUAAAAAACCAGGGGCUUCAAACCAUCUCGGCCCAGUGGCCCCCAUGGGAGUCUCUCUGCCGCACAUUUCCUCCACUGGUUUAUUUGUUUUCUGGUUAGGGCCGGGUGGAUUUCCUGCAGCUGAUGAUUGACUCCCAAAGUGCCAAGACUGACCACCAGAGCAAUGGCUUGAACCACUCCUAUAAAGGUAAUGCCACACAAUUUAACUGAACUGAAGGGAAGUUGUAUUUCCUGAAGACUUGAAAUUGCCUAUCCCAGUUUGAAAAAUGCAGUGCAAUGAAUGUUACCUACACAGAUCAUGUUCCCGAGUUGUCUUUCCUGAGGAGUUGAAAUUGCCCAAAUCCUCGAUGACUUAGGAACUUCACUUGCACCUGAAUAAUAAUAAUAAUAUUAAUAAUAAUAAUAAUAAAGCUAUUAUUUAUACCCCGCCCAUCUGGCUGGGUUUCCCCAGCCACUCUGGGCGGCUUCCAACAAAAUAUUAAAAUACAAUAGUCUGCCAAACAUUAAAAGCUUCCCUAAACAGGGCUGCCUUCAGAUGUCUUCUAAAAGUCUGGUAGUUGAAGACAGGCUCCAGCAGAUUGAGUGGAAGAGACCAAUAGUGUGUCCUACGACAGUUUCUGCAUGUGCUGUAGAGGGAAGUGAGGAGCAAAUGGGUCUCGUCCACCUGGGAAGGCAGCCCAUCUAGGAGUGGGAAAACUCUGAUCCUAAACUUUGGUGGGAUAUCUUUGGGAGAAGAAAAGGCUGAGGAGUAAACCCUACAGAAAUUCAGAGCGGAAUCCCUAAGACAAUUGGAUGGUGCCUUGUACGCCUUCUUCCAGCAAGUCCUGCAGCCAAGGUGGUGCCAAAUGUUUUGCUCUGCUUUCCUUUGGACAUCAGCAAGGCCAAGAGGAGGGUUCUGGUCUUCUGGGCAGCCCAGGACCUCCAGACACACUGCCCAGGCUUGGGGUACUGGAGGGGUCACUUCAGUCCUGCAAAUACAGCGAUUUGACUUCACCCCCAGAGGCACACUCCAUCGUCUCUCAAGACAGAAGGAUGCCAGAAACAAGACUGCACCCACAGACACGAUUCCAAACCAACGCCACACAGUCUUCUAACACUACAUAUGCUGUUGAUGAUAAUGACUUUUCAGUCUCUUGUAACUCAAAGGUCUCCAAGUGACUUUGUUGUUGUUGUUUAGUCGUGUCCGACUCUUCGUGACCCCCUGGACCAGAGCACGCCAGGCACUCCUGUCUUCCACUGCCUCCCACAGUUUGGUCAAACUCAUGUUAGUAGCUUUGAGAACACUGUUCAACCAUCUCGUCCUCUGUCGCCCCUUCUCCUUGUGCCCUCCAUCUCUCCCAACAUUAGGGUCUUUUCCAGGGAGGUGGCCAAAGUAUUGGAGCCUCAGCUUCAGGAUCUGUCCUUCUAGUGAGCACUCAGGGCUGAUUUCCUUAAAAAUGGAUAGGUUUGAUCUUUCAGUGACUCACAGCAUAUUUUAAAUAUAAAUAUAUUAUAGCACAAAACAGAACAAAGCAGGUCCCAUAAACAGCCAUAGGAAGCUUGGGCAGCAGACCAGUAGCAGCAAAGCAUCAUUUCAUUCUAUCAAAAGCCAGGGGGAAGCCUUUCCUGGUGUUAAAAAGAGGUCAGUGAAGGUGCUUGGCAGACCUUGCAGGGGAGAGUUUUGCACAGAAAGAGAGCCACAACCUAAAAGGCCCUACUCUCCCUUGUCAUUACACUCAGUGGUAAAGGCCUCAGAAUAUCACUUUCCACCUUAUUUAAGUUGCCUGCAGGACUGUUCCCAGAAUUCCCAUUUUUUUACUGCCCCCCCUUGAUUCCACAAACUCAUUCUCAGUACCUCCUCCCCUCUCAAAAGCAUUACUAUCCAAAUAGCGAUUUGCACAACACCCUAAGGCAGACAAUGACACAAUAAAAUUCAAAACAGCAACAUUUGAUUGCACAUUGAUUGAAAAAUCACAUUAAAAGGGUUUAGUUCAAUUAAUUCAACAAAACUCAUGAACUUGAUCUUGUGAGACCAGCUUUUCAAAAUCUGAUAGUCAUUUAUACCUCCAGCAACCCCUUGCCUUGCAAUGCAUGUUACCUGCACGGAUCAUGUUCCCAGCCAGACUACAGGCUGUACUUGUUUACACUUGAACUCUCUCACUUCUGCUUGUUUGCAGGUUUGACUGACAUUGAAAUCCUGGCCCAGUCCUUCAUCUUUGUCUUUGCUGGAUACGAACCCACCAGCAACUCCCUGGGUUAUGCGGCCUACCUCUUGGCCACUCACCCAGAUGUCCAGCAGAAGCUUCAAGAUGAGAUAGAUACCAUCUUGCCCAACAAGGUAAGAAUGUGUGGGUUGCAAAGGUGAGGCCAGACCUAAUGGAAAAGGUUUUUUGGGUGGGGUAGGGAAGUUACAGGAGAGUUAUUUAUCUAAUUUGGGGGGCAGGGACAGAGGAGUAAUAAAAAUGAACCAGUUAGAAACUAAAGCGAAAAUACACCAAAACACAAUUUAGUACCAGCAGUUAAAAUCCAGUUUGCCCUGACAUCAGCCCAGUGGUCAGCAUCACCUGGACCUUAGAUUUCAAAGGCCUGUUUGAACUGGAAGGUCUUAGCCUGCUGGCAGAGGGAUGACAGAGAGGGAGCCAGUCUAUCCCCUCUUGGGAGGGAAUAGUACAAUCUCAGAGCAGCCACAGAAAAGGCCCUGUCUCUCUUGAGUCAUUGCCAGUUGGGCUUCUGAUUUUGAUAUGAUCCAAGAGAAGGGGCUCAACUGAGGAUCUUAGCACCUGAGCCAUGUUAGAUUGGGGAAGUGGAGAGAGAAACACAUCAGUUGCAUAAGUUGCAUACCACCUGUGCAGCUGUUGAAUGCAGGGGCAAAGCUACCUGCCUUGGCACCUGGAGCUGCGGGGGCGGGGCUAGCUGGCCUGCAGGGGCGGGGCUAGCUGCCCACACAGCAAGCGUCCCUAGCACCUGCCACCCGCGCAGCGAGCGGGGUCUGUGUGUGUUUGGCGCGGAAUGUCACCUCCCCUCAUGGCUGACACCCGGUGCGUACUGCAUGCCCCGCAUCCGCCUUCCUCCACCAGUGGUUGAAUGCAACCCGUGGAGAUUGUCAUAUUUAUGGACAGAAAUCUCAGAAUAAGGCCACCUCAGCUGAGAUCUUUCCUUCUGAAGGUCUCUGUCUGAGCCUGGUUCAGGGUCCCACCGGUUACAGCUAACCUUCCCCCUUGAAUUCCCCCAAAGGCUCCUCUCACGUACGAUGCCAUCAUGCAACUGGAAUAUCUUGACAUGGUCCUCAGCGAAACGCAAAGGAUGUAUCCCCUUGGAGGACGGCUGCAAAGGACCUGCAAGAAAGAUGUAGAAAUCAAUGGGGUGACUAUCUUGAAAGGCAUGAGUGUGAUUAUCCCGCCUUACACGCUUCACCGGGAUCCCGAACACUGGCCGGAACCAGACGAAUUCAGACCUGAAAGGUAACCCUCCCAACCCCAACCCCUCCAAAAAGCGUUGUGCACCUGAUGAAAGGCCACGUGUUCGAAUGACAUGAGUGCAAGAUCUACCCAACCACUAGUAGAUCACCAGCUGCUCCUGAUUUCAGCCUCAGCUGGGCUGCUGACAUCAACAUCACCACCAUUUUAUUACAUUUAUUUAUAUCCCACAUUUUUUCUAGACAGGGACUCAAGACAUAGAAACAUAGCAAUUAAACUGUAAUAGAAUUCAACUGUGAUGAAGGCAUAUACAAACAUCACAAUGCCAGCCAGGAUAUCAGCAUUUUGCAGAUGCCUGGCUGGAGGUGAAAAUAAAACAGACAUCACUUUCACUCUCUCUUUAAAUGUGAGGUAACCAGAGGUUUCAUCUUCUCUUAGAACUGAGUAUAUUUCACUCAAAAUUCCACAUCCCUAUGGGUGUAAGUAUAGCAUCCAGUUUUCCUCAGAAAUAUUUAAGUCUUUACAGGUCCAUUCAAAACUAAAUAGGUACAUCAUCACCUUUUACUUACUUUUUAAACCUCUUUAUAUUAGCUGAGAUAAAAUCUCCACCCCCCAACAACGGUUGGGGCAGUUCUGCCCUCAGCUUAAUUUCCUCCAUUUUUAAAAGAAACAUAUCUUUUUCAUGGGCCAUCUUGGCCUCCCUUUCCCUGUAUUCUUGGGCUAAUCUGGCAUCUCUUUCUUUCUCUUUUUCCUCCUAAUCUGCUCUCUCUCUGUGCCAUAUCUCUCUCAGUCUGUAUCUGUGCUAACUGAAUGUCAGCUGCAGUUCUGGCUUGUUCAGCUGCUAAUUUUGCCUUUUCUUUCUCUGCUUCAACUUUAGCCAAUUCUAACCUUAACCUUGUCAUUUCUAACUCAGUACUAGGAUUUUCCUCAGGUGCAGUAGCUCCCUGCACUGGGUCAUCCCGAGUCUCUUUUGCUUGCCGCUUGCUGGUCAUUUUCUGACAGGAAAUUUUCCUUCUUUUAAUAAAAGAACUUCAGUACUUUAUUAAACUGGUUGUUCUGUGUCUCUGGGUACGUUUCUGUGUGGGUUUUAACUUCGUAUCGUGGCGCUGCCACCAAGUAAUAUGCUACGGGCGAAACAGCACUUUCCCCUCUCAAGCCGUUCUCAUUCAGAUAAUUUGCCCCCACCCCAUUUACCCAAAGGUUUUUUUCUCCUUAAAAUUCUAACCCAGAUUAUCCUACGGGGGACCGUUGUGAGGGGAAACCUGGGAAAUUGGAGUCUCAGGCCGGUUUUCUUUAAAGAUUUAUUUAAGGCAAGAUAGUAUAUAACACAAGUGAAAAAAAACUUAGGUUACUUCAGGAAUGCAAUGCUAUUUCACUUUAACUGAACCUCAGUUGUUUUUGGUUGCGUUAUACGCAGUGGUGUCCAAACGUUUUUCAAAGAGGGCCAGAUUUGAUGAAACUGCCACAGGGGCUGGAUUAGGCCCCCGAAAUGGACUUUGUACGUGCCUGCAGGUUGGUUCCUUUAUAAGGUGAUACAUUCUUUCAGCUACCCACCCCCUUUAACAAUCCUGCUCCUGAGGAACUUGAAGUAAUAGACCAAAGGGAUCUUCACACGCCAUCCCUUCACUGGGUCUGGGAGCUCCUUCUUUUCCUCAGAAGAAUCUCUCCCCUCCGGACUGGAUUGAGUCCCAAGGAGGCUGUUCCUUUCCAGCUCCUCCUUCUCCUGCCUCAGUCUCUGCCUCCCAGUAAAAUUCUGGUCUAUUCCUCCUACAGGACACCACACGUUGUCCUUCACAAUACGCUCAGAGCGGAAGUUCUUUCUUCUUUUUGUUUGGAACCAACUCUUUCUCCCCUUCACUCCUUUUACCUCAACCUGUCUCCUACCUAGGAAUCAUAAAACAGAGAAACCAGUAGGAGAACACUUCAGUCUCCCAGGACAUUCUGUACAAGAUCUUAAAGUGGCUGUCUUAUUGCAAAUGAGUUCCAGAAAUACACUUGAAAGAGAAGUUGCUGAAUUACAACUCAUUACCAAACGAAAAAGGGACGCAGGUGGCGCUGUGGGUAAACGCCUCAGCACCUAGGACUUGCUGAUCGAAAGGUCGGCGGUUCGAAUCCCCGCGGCGGGGUGCGCUCCCGUCGCUCGGUCCCAGCGCCUGCCAACCUAGCAGUUCAAAAGCACAAUUAAGUGCAAGUAGAUAAAUAGGGACCGCUUACUGGCGGGAAGGUAAACGGCGUUUCCGUGCGCUGCUCUGGUGCCGGUUCGCCAGAGCAGCUUUGUCACGCUGGCCAUGUGACCCGGAAGCCUUUGUUUACAAUUUGAUUGCUGAGCAGUGUGUUGACAGCUGCAUUUUGCCUGCUCUUUCUUUUUGCUUUGUUGCCUUACACUAUUCCAUUUGUCUAUUAGUUUUGUUCACAAAAAUCUUUUUGGAAGCUGUUGUUGUUCAGAAGAGCUGAUCCAUUUCACACUGCCACUCUUUACUACUGUGUCUUCUAACCAUAUGCAAAGCGUGCUGACUAACUGCAGACGUCUGUUGCGGCGCGUUUAUUUUCAUGGUGCUUGCCAGCCAUGCCUGCCCCACCCAGUAGCUGCUGAUCUGGUGGGGGCAGGGAAAGGAGGCAUUGCCCUCCCCUAUUCAGAAUGGGAGGGUUGGCAUCCAAUCCUGACCCCCGGGCACAAAAGCCUGAGAAGGGCGCAUCCAGACACCCCUAUAACAGGCUCCCUCUCUUGGCUGAGGUCCUGCCACCUUCCAGAGCCACAGGGAGGCAAGCUGAAUCCUGGCCGGGCCUUUGGGUAAGGUUACCAGAUUUUUUUCAGUGAAUCUGGGACACUUCAUUGAAAUGAGUCGGAAUGAUAGGAUUUUGUCAGGGGACAGAUUUGUAAAUCUGGGGACUGUCCAUGGGAAACGGGGACGUCUGGUAACCUUACCUUUGGGGCUGUGUGGCGCCUCCUUCUCCUUUUGGCCUGGCCAGCUGUCCUGGCUAAGCAGGAAGGUUGCUGAGCCACCAAGCCAAGUAGAAGCAUCUCCACUGCCAUCAGUGGCAGCAGCGUUGGCAGCCAUGUGUCUCCCUGGCUCUGCACUCCCUCCCUCCUGACACACCUCCACCCUACCUGCCCAGUCCAUGGGGGGUGGGGAUUUGCUCCAUCCUGGCCAUAAUGAAAGGGGUUUCUUCAAACAGUGUAAAUAGGGUCUGAGCAGGAAGAGCAAACAGACUCUUGAGGGACCUUUUGCAUCACAGACACCAUAGGUGGUACCAGUGGGUACUGUACUCAUGACCCCCAUUUGUGCGACACUACGCAGCAUCGUCCCCACUUGAUUCAGCUGGUGGAUGCAGCUGAGGAUGAGCAACUGAGAACCAGCUGCUGGUGAGCAAUGUCCCCUUGUUGUGAGCCCUGAGCUGCGGCCUUCUUCUUCCUUUGCCUCUCCCAUCAAGGCAUCAGAUCUGCCCGUUCUGGUUCCUUACCCAGCCUCCAUUUCUCUCAUCUCUGUGAAUGCAACCAGGUUCAGCAAAGAGAACAAGGAUCAAGUGGAUCCCUACCUAUACCUGCCCUUUGGAGCUGGUCCCCGGAACUGCUUGGGAAUGCGCUUUGCUCUCGUCACGAUGAAGGUGGCCAUUGCAAUCCUGGUGCAGCAUUUUUCCUUCAGGGUCUGCAAGGAAACUCCGGUGAGGAGGCUGGAUGUUGUGUGUGUGUGUGUGUGUGUGUGUGUGUGUGUAAGGAAGGGACCAGGGGCAUGACACUUGGAGUUUCAAUGUCUGGCACCAGUGCCCAAGGCAUAGAUAGCAUCAUACUGCAUGUUUUGAUUUAAGCCAGGGAAACCAAAACAUUGAAACUCCCCUGUGAUCUUCUGCUGGGGUCUUGAUGUUAAGAUGGGUUGACUGAUGUGCUGAUUGCUCUCUCGAUUCUCACCCUGCUGCAGAUUCCCCUUAAGAUGAGCAACAAAGCCUUCUUAGUGCCGGAGAAACCAAUAGUUCUGAAGAUGGUGCCACGAGGUGGUCCCCAAAAGGAGGAGUGAAGCCUGGUUGUGUCUCAUUCACUUCGGCAGCGAGUGCAAAAGCUUUGGGUGUUCCUCUGGGAAGUUUCCCCAAAGAGAACUACUAAUGGUUCCAGAGGAUCAAACUGAUUUGCAAACCGAAACGAAACUCGCUUUUAAAAACUGCACUUCAAUAAUAAAGGAUGGGGAAGAGCCAGCUCUAAGUUUCUAUUGUAAACCUUUUGCAAAAUAGAGCCUCCUUCCCCUCUUCCUUUUUUUACACACACAGUUCUGUUUGCUGUUAUAUUCCAUAUUUAUAAUCCAAUUUCUUCCACCUCACUUGUACAAAUAUAAUGUAAACUAAUAUUCAGAGGAGGGUUGCCGAAUAGUAAAUAUUGAGAAGAAAACUUUCAAUAAAGAAACCAUAGGCUCCUCCCCUCACUGGCUUUUGUACUGAGUGAAGUCCUAUCUCAAGUUGGUUUGUUCCACAGUUUGUGAUCUCAUCUCUUCUAGCAUGCACCUGUACUUUAGUCUGCUUCUUAAUGGUGGUGUUGCAGGGUUUUUGGCAGGUGAAGUGCUUUUGCACUCAGCGUUUCCCUGCCUCCAUGCUGAAGCGAGAGUCAGGUACCAAGACGAAUCAUCCUUAUUUUUCCUUCACCAAUGAUCUCCUGUUGUCAUGGAGGCUGCCUCCAUUACGGCAGUGUGGAACCGGAAGCUGUUGGAAAUGUAUUUUGAAUGAUCUUCCUUAUGCAGAGUAUAACACACUACAGUAGCCUUUAGCUGCAGACACACCAACACAUUUGCAGCACAAAAAUGUAGUCCCCCCCCUCAAUUCUUAAUCAUUCAUGUUCAUCUUCAACAUGCUGUUUUCAAUCAAAUGAAUCAUCAUAAUAAUUUUGUUAUUUGUACCCCUCCCAUCUGAUUCAAGAUCUUGCUGUCCAUAAGGGUGCGAGUGGUUACUUGAUACACAUUUGAACCCCCCCCCCCUUGAAGAAAUAAUCUACACCUCUCCCUCCCUGCACACAACCCAGAUGAAUGAAGGAGAAAGAGGUGAUUGCAUUCUUGGUAUAGGCCUACCCACAAUGCCAUUGGGCAGGUCUGGGUACACACACCACAUGGGUGAGACUACCUACAUCUUUUUUUACAAAUUGACACACUGUGGGGGAUUGCAGAAUCAAUCUGCAUUGAACUUUUGUUUUUGGAAUGGAAGCAGUUUAUUACGAAGCAUUUCAAA